RNAcentral lists this ribosomal RNA (93 nucleotides) under Anaerococcus octavius. RNAcentral's name for it is "partial 16S ribosomal RNA". It matches the Rfam family "Bacterial small subunit ribosomal RNA", at positions 1449 to 1533 of the family's 1533-position model. The record is from RNAcentral. Lineage: Bacteria; Bacillati; Bacillota; Tissierellia; Tissierellales; Peptoniphilaceae.
GCAGCAGUCGAAGGUAGGGUCAGUAACUGGGGUGAAGUCGUAACAAGGUAGCCGUAUCGGAAGGUGCGGCUGGAUCACCUCCUUUCUAAGGAA